UACGUAGGGUGCGAGCGUUAAUCGGAAUUACUGGGCGUAAAGCGUGCGCAGGCGGUUCGUUGUGUCGGCGGUGAAAGCCCCGGGCUCAACCUGGGAAUGGCCGUUGAAACUGGCGAACUGGAGUGUGGCAGAGGGGGGUGGAAUUCCGCGUGUAGCAGUGAAAUGCGUAGAGAUGUGGAGGAACACCAGUGGCGAAGGCGACUUUCUGGCCUAUAACUGACGCUGAGGCGCGAAAGCGUGGGGAGCAAACAGG
This 253-nucleotide ribosomal RNA is filed under the name uncultured bacterium. RNAcentral describes it as "partial 16S ribosomal RNA". It matches the Rfam family "Bacterial small subunit ribosomal RNA", at positions 524 to 776 of the family's 1533-position model. The record is from RNAcentral.